CGGAAAUGAUGAAAUGGAGAUUGGGUGUUGAAUGUUGUGUGAUUGGAAAUUUUUAGUAUGUAAAUUUAAUAAUUCGUAAAUGCUAGAGUGUAUGGAGAGAGAGAGAGAGAGAGAGAGAGAGAGAGAGAGAGAGAGAGAGUGUGCGCGCGUGCGCUCGUGGGGGGGGGGGAGGCUGCAGAAAGGGGGCACUGACCGGUGCUGCUGAUAUUGGAGUGCAUCUGAGGCUGUUGUAGACACAACACUGCCGAUGAUUAUAACCCAAAAAACAGCUCACCUAAGUAGCCUCACACCCUAAGAUCUCUAACAGGUUCCUUAACGUGGUCCUGUGAUCUGAUCCGA
This is a non-coding RNA of Sorex araneus (European shrew), 339 nucleotides long. RefSeq annotates it as small Cajal body-specific RNA 7. The record is from RefSeq and is a predicted model, not a curated record. Lineage: Eukaryota; Metazoa; Chordata; Mammalia; Eulipotyphla; Soricidae. The transcript has a single exon.